UACGUAGGGUGCGAGCGUUGUCCGGAAUUAUUGGGCGUAAAGAGCUCGUAGGCGGUCUGUCGCGUCGAUCGUGAAAACUUGGGGCUUAACCCUGAGCUUGCGGUCGAUACGGGCAUGACUGGAGUUCGGCAGGGGAGACUGGAAUUCCUGGUGUAGCGGUGAAAUGCGUAGAUAUCAGAAGGAACAUCAGUGGCGAAGGCGGCUUCCUGGACCAAUACUGACGAUCAGGUGCGAAAACGUGGGGAGCAAACAGG
Molecule: ribosomal RNA, 254 nt
Filed under: uncultured bacterium
Lineage: Bacteria
Description: partial 16S ribosomal RNA
Rfam family: Bacterial small subunit ribosomal RNA
Source: RNAcentral